Molecule: long non-coding RNA, 1206 nt
Organism: Choloepus didactylus (southern two-toed sloth)
Lineage: Eukaryota; Metazoa; Chordata; Mammalia; Pilosa; Megalonychidae
Exons: 3
Source: RefSeq, a predicted model, not a curated record
GAGACUCAGAGGGGAGAAGGCGGUGUGAUGGAGAGGCUCGGUCCCUCGGAGGGAAGAGCCGGGCGGGUCGGGGCGAACAAAGAGCGAGCGCGCGGCGAGCGAGGCGCGGCGGCGCCGGGAGGGAGAGGGGCCGAGGCCGGCCGGCCGCCCGGGCUGUCUGAUUUUCUGUCAGCCGCCGCUGAUUAACGGGCCGCCUUCCAGCUCUGAGCGCGCCGCGCCGCGUUCCUGGCAACUGGGCCGCGCAGCUUCCUGGCGGAGGCGGGGCCUGCUGAAAGAUGAGGAGACUGAGGGUCAGAGAGCUUAAGCCUGCUUGUCAUACUUAGUCAUGGAUGAAGCUGGAACCCCAAACCAGCCUUGCCAGAUACCAAGGUCUGAACUCUUAAUUAGGUGAUGUGAGCCACCUCCACGGAGGACCCAAGAAACCUUUGGCAUAACCCGGUGUGUUGAGAGCAGAACAUCAGUAGAAGCCUAGUGAAUAUUAGGUGAAUGGAAUCGAAUCGCCCCAUUUCCACCUGCUUGGCGAUUUUAUACAGGCCCCAGCUAGCCUCCACAUCAGGGUUCCUCCUGCAUCCUGCUGUUUGGAGCAAGAGUCUCAGAGAACAGAGGACCUUGUCUGUCCCCUCUGGAACCUGGCAUUCCAGACUCUUCCUGGGCUGGAUUCAACCUACCUUGGGUACCAGUUUCAUGGGCAGCCGGUGCCGGGCAUCCUGCUCUCCGGCCACACGCUUGAUCACAUACACCAUCACACCUCUCUUUGCACUUGGUGUUCCACUGCUUGGCACGCCCUCACCCAGGCUGAAUGUGUGCCCAAGCGCUUUGCACAGACCUCUCCGGCAGCACCUGAGAAGCUUCCCUGUGGCUGUUGGCGGCUGCGCGCCUCUCCACUGAACAUGCACUCCCCGGGGGCAACGCUGAGUUGCUUUUCUCCCUGUAUCGCCAACCAACUUACGAUAACAAGCGUGAACAUCCUAGAUGCUCCAUAACUGUGGGUCUAAUGUGUACAUGAGCAAGCUGACAUUCCCAAAGAACUAGCUGUAAGCACCUAUUUUGUUUGGACUUUACAAAAUUAAAGCAGCUGUCACAGCCCCGUUACUAAACCCGGCCUUACUUUCUCUCCCAAGUGCAGACACCAGACACUGGCCUUAUAGAAGCAGAACCAUCCCCUGACAUUUUCAUAGGGAGGUGGCAGGCCAUCUGGGUUAAAAU